GAGUCUACAGCUAAGGGUGGAUUUCCCGGGUCCUAGGGUCAUAUCGGGGCUCUGCUGAAACCUAGAGCAGUUAGGUCCAUUAACCUGUAACUUGCUCGAGAAAUGAUGUGCUGCCACCUGCCUUCACUCAUCAAGCUACUUUAAUUGCCCUCCACGUAGCCUCAACAAGAUGCUUUCCUGAGUUGUUGGCCGGGAACUUGGACUCAGCUGUGUCCAGCUUGAGCUCAAGCCAGUUGGGGCCACAGAUCCUCCUCCUGCUCCUGCUCAAAUGUCUGAUCCGGGACCUUUGACAUCAGAGGACUCAAACCCCCACCCUCAGACCCCGCCUCCACAGCUAAUUGCACCUGCGCAGGAGGAAGGUUCACUUGCCUUUCUUUCAUCUCCAAUCACCUCUGCCCGCGCUGCCCACGCUGCCCACGCCCCUACACCAGCCACGCCUUGGCUUUAGUCCAUAAAUAGCCCAAGCCCCUCACCUUUGGGAGGUGGAUUUGCGAUUUCCCGGCCUCCUGAGCAAACCCCUUCCGCCGCUGCCAACCUUAGCGUCUUGGUGUCUUGGCUUCUGGCUGUCUGGGCGCUGGGCAAACAAACCUGGUUCGGGAACACUACCAUUAACUUUUUUGCACAAACCGUUUUCCAAAGUGGGUGCACUCUUUUACAGUCUAACUAGCAAGCUACUAGAGGAUGCUGUCCUCCAAAAUGGAGCAAGAAGAGGAGGAUGCAGGAGUCAGGGAUGCAGGAGAGCAGAGGGAAAACAAGAUUCAACAUACAGACUUGAAAGAAGAGCCAAGUGCCAUCCU
Molecule: long non-coding RNA, 797 nt
Organism: Phacochoerus africanus (Common warthog)
Lineage: Eukaryota; Metazoa; Chordata; Mammalia; Artiodactyla; Suidae
Exons: 3
Source: RefSeq, a predicted model, not a curated record